GACGAACGCUGGCGGCGUGCUUAACACAUGCAAGUCGAACGGAAAGGCCCUGCUUUUGUGGGGUGCUCGAGUGGCGAACGGGUGAGUAACACGUGAGUAACCUGCCCUUGACUUUGGGAUAACUUCAGGAAACUCGGGCUAAUACCGGAUAUGAGCUCCUGCUGCAUGGUGUGGGUUGGAAAGUUUCGGCGGUUGGGGAUGGACUCGCGGUUUAUCAGCUUGUUGGUGGGGUAGUGGCGUACCAAGGCUUUGAUGGGUAGCCAGCUUGAGAGGGUGACCGGCCACAUUGGGACUGAGAUACGGCCCAGACUGCUACGGGAGGCAUCAGUGAGGAAUAUUGCACGCUGGGCGGAAGCCUGAUGGAGCAACGCCGCGUGCGAGAUGACGGCCGUCGGGGUGGAACCCGCGUGCGCCUGUGACGAAGCGUGAGUGACGGUAAUGGGUAAAGAAGCACCGGCUAACUACGUG
RNAcentral lists this ribosomal RNA (468 nucleotides) under uncultured bacterium. RNAcentral describes it as "partial 16S ribosomal RNA". It matches the Rfam family "Bacterial small subunit ribosomal RNA", at positions 28 to 507 of the family's 1533-position model. The record is from RNAcentral.